CUAUGUCCAUCUUUCUUUCACUAUUUCUUGUUGUAACCAGUAUUGGUAAUUCCCCUAUAUCAUCCUUUUCAAAUUCUCUUAUUUACCUUAUACACAAUAUUUUAUCAUCUUUUAAUAACAUUUUAUUAUACUUGUUUCACAUUACAGUAGGUGAGGAGUGGAACUCGCAUAGUUGGAACUCAGAAUUCUAUUUGAAGAAAAGUUGCAGUUCUGACUUUGAUUGUCCAAGGACUAUGUGCAUAAAACUUUCCCUUGCGAGAUGCUUUAAUGACUUUUGUCACUGCUAUUAAUAGUUAAGUUGAAAAUAUUUUGUUUCUUUUAAAGCCUAUAAUUUUAUUCUUAUUUCAUUUUUACUCUUAUUAUUUCUCUCACACUUUCAUUUAUACUUUUCAGACGUUUUGAUUUCAAUGAUAGGACGAGAAGAAGA
This 427-nucleotide long non-coding RNA is filed under the name Medicago truncatula (barrel medic). RNAcentral's name for it is "long non-coding RNA (MTRU_LNC002170)". Lineage: Eukaryota; Viridiplantae; Streptophyta; Magnoliopsida; Fabales; Fabaceae. The record is from RNAcentral.